CCUACGGGGGGCAGCAGUGAGGAAUAUUGGUCAAUGGGCGCGAGCCUGAACCAGCCAAGUCGCGUGCGGGAUGAAGGUUCUAUGGAUCGUAAACCUCUUUUAUACGGGGAUAAAGUGUGGGACGUGUCCUAUUUUGUAUGUACCUUAUGAAUAAGGAUCGGCUAACUCCGUGCCAGCAGCCGCGGUAAUACGGAGGAUCCGAGCGUUAUCCGGAUUUAUUGGGUUUAAAGGGUGCGUAGGCGGCCUUUUAAGUCAGAGGUGAAAUUCUGUGGCUCAACCAUAGAAUUGCCGUUGAAACUGGGGGGCUUGAGUAUGUUUGAGGCAGGCGGAAUGCGUGGUGUAGCGGUGAAAUGCUUAGAUAUCACGCAGAACCCCGAUUGCGAAGGCAGCCUGCCAAGCCAUGACUGACGCUGAUGCACGAAAGCGUGGGGAUCAAACAGGAUUAGAUACCCUAGUAGUC
This 460-nucleotide ribosomal RNA is filed under the name uncultured bacterium. RNAcentral's name for it is "partial 16S ribosomal RNA". It matches the Rfam family "Bacterial small subunit ribosomal RNA", at positions 338 to 795 of the family's 1533-position model. The record is from RNAcentral.